AUGGUCUGUCAUUCUGAAAAGGUGAUCUCCAUUCAGGUGCAAAAUCACAGAAAAGUGAGAACGCACCCUCUCAUCGUCGCAUACAUGGGCGACAAGAGUUUUCUUCCCAACUCCAGCACCACCAAUGAUUGGAAGCACGGCCGGAGCUGUGUUUUGAUUUUCGGCCGAAAAAAGUGGAUUUCGGCCGAAUUUCGGCCAUCUCGGCCUGGGGCGAAAAGUGUAUUUAGACCGAAAUUGUUCAAAUUUAGCAAAUUUUGGUCAAAUUUAAGUCAAAUUGCAGUCAAAAUUUGGCCAAAUUUCAGCCGAAAUUUUUGA
Molecule: ribosomal RNA, 315 nt
Filed under: Triticum aestivum (bread wheat)
Lineage: Eukaryota; Viridiplantae; Streptophyta; Magnoliopsida; Poales; Poaceae
Description: partial small subunit ribosomal RNA
Source: RNAcentral